GGGACACGUGGUAUCCUGUCUGAAUAUGGGGGGACCAUCCUCCAAGGCUAAAUACUCCUGACUGACCGAUAGUGAACCAGUACCGUGAGGGAAAGGCGAAAAGAACCCCGGCGAGGGGAGUGAAAAAGAACCUGAAACCGUGUACGUACAAGCAGUGGGAGCACGCUUAGGCGUGUGACUGCGUACCUUUUGUAUAAUGGGUCAGCGACUUAUAUUCUGUAGCAAGGUUAACCGAAUAGGGGAGCCGAAGGGAAACCGAGUCUUAACUGGGCGUUAAGUUGCAGGGUAUAGACCCGAAACCCGGUGAUCUAGCCAUGGGCAGGUUGAAGGUUGGGUAACACUAACUGGAGGACCGAACCGACUAAUGUUGAAAAAUUAGCGGAUGACUUGUGGCUGGGGGUGAAAGGCCAAUCAAACCGGGAGAUAGCUGGUUCUCCCCGAAAGCUAUUUAGGUAGCGCCUCGUGAAUUCAUCUCCGGGGGUAGAGCACUGUUUCGGCAAGGGGGUCAUCCCGACUUACCAACCCGAUGCAAACUGCGAAUACCGGAGAAUGUUAUCACGGGAGACACACGGCGGGUGCUAACGUCCGUCGUGAAGAGGGAAACAACCCAGACCGCCAGCUAAGGUCCCAAAGUCAUGGUUAAGUGGGAAACGAUGUGGGAAGGCCCAGACAGCCAGGAUGUUGGCUUAGAAGCAGCCAUCAUUUAAAGAAAGCGUAAUAGCUCACUGGUCGAGUCGGCCUGCGCGGAAGAUGUAACGGGGCUAAACCAUGCACCGAAGCUGCGGCAGCGACGCUUAUGCGUUGUUGGGUAGGGGAGCGUUCUGUAAGCCUGUGAAGGUGUGCUGUGAGGCAUGCUGGAGGUAUCAGAAGUGCGAAUGCUGACAUAAGUAACGAUAAAGCGGGUGAAAAGCCCGCUCGCCGGAAGACCAAGGGUUCCUGUCCAACGUUAAUCGGGGCAGGGUGAGUCGACCCCUAAGGCGAGGCCGAAAGGCGUAGUCGAUGGGAAACAGGUUAAUAUUCCUGUACUUGGUGUUACUGCGAAGGGGGGACGGAGAAGGCUAUGUUGGCCGGGCGACGGUUGUCCCGGUUUAAGCGUGUAGGCUGGUUUUCCAGGCAAAUCCGGAAAAUCAAGGCUGAGGCGUGAUGACGAGGCACUACGGUGCUGAAGCAACAAAUGCCCUGCUUCCAGGAAAAGCCUCUAAGCAUCAGGUAACAUCAAAUCGUACCCCAAACCGACACAGGUGGUCAGGUAGAGAAUACCAAGGCGCUUGAGAGAACUCGGGUGAAGGAACUAGGCAAAAUGGUGCCGUAACUUCGGGAGAAGGCACGCUGAUAUGUAGGUGAAGCGACUUGCUCGUGGAGCUGAAAUCAGUCGAAGAUACCAGCUGGCUGCAACUGUUUAUUAAAAACACAGCACUGUGCAAACACGAAAGUGGACGUAUACGGUGUGACGCCUGCCCGGUGCCGGAAGGUUAAUUGAUGGGGUCAGCGCAAGCGAAGCUCUUGAUCGAAGCCCCGGUAAACGGCGGCCGUAACUAUAACGGUCCUAAGGUAGCGAAAUUCCUUGUCGGGUAAGUUCCGACCUGCACGAAUGGCGUAAUGAUGGCCAGGCUGUCUCCACCCGAGACUCAGUGAAAUUGAACUCGCUGUGAAGAUGCAGUGUACCCGCGGCAAGACGGAAAGACCCCGUGAACCUUUACUAUAGCUUGACACUGAACAUUGAGCCUUGAUGUGUAGGAUAGGUGGGAGGCUUAGAAGUGUGGACGCCAGUCUGCAUGGAGCCGACCUUGAAAUACCACCCUUUAAUGUUUGAUGUUCUAACGUUGACCCGUAAUCCGGGUUGCGGACAGUGUCUGGUGGGUAGUUUGACUGGGGCGGUCUCCUCCUAAAGAGUAACGGAGGAGCACGAAGGUUGGCUAAUCCUGGUCGGACAUCAGGAGGUUAGUGCAAUGGCAUAAGCCAGCUUGACUGCGAGCGUGACGGCGCGAGCAGGUGCGAAAGCAGGUCAUAGUGAUCCGGUGGUUCUGAAUGGAAGGGCCAUCGCUCAACGGAUAAAAGGUACUCCGGGGAUAACAGGCUGAUACCGCCCAAGAGUUCAUAUCGACGGCGGUGUUUGGCACCUCGAUGUCGGCUCAUCACAUCCUGGGGCUGAAGUAGGUCCCAAGGGUAUGGCUGUUCGCCAUUUAAAGUGGUACGCGAGCUGGGUUUAGAACGUCGUGAGACAGUUCGGUCCCUAUCUGCCGUGGGCGCUGGAGAACUGAGGGGGGCUGCUCCUAGUACGAGAGGACCGGAGUGGACGCAUCACUGGUGUUCGGGUUGUCAUGCCAAUGGCACUGCCCGGUAGCUAAAUGC
This 2352-nucleotide ribosomal RNA is filed under the name Escherichia coli. RNAcentral describes it as "partial 23S ribosomal RNA". It matches the Rfam family "Bacterial large subunit ribosomal RNA", at positions 419 to 2756 of the family's 2925-position model. The record is from RNAcentral. Lineage: Bacteria; Pseudomonadati; Pseudomonadota; Gammaproteobacteria; Enterobacterales; Enterobacteriaceae.